This 253-nucleotide ribosomal RNA is filed under the name uncultured bacterium. RNAcentral's name for it is "partial 16S ribosomal RNA". It matches the Rfam family "Bacterial small subunit ribosomal RNA", at positions 524 to 776 of the family's 1533-position model. The record is from RNAcentral.
UACGUAGGGGGCAAGCGUUGUCCGGAAUCAUUGGGCGUAAAGAGCGUGUAGGCGGCCAGAAAAGUCCGCUGUGAAAACUCGAGGCUCAACUUCGAGCUGUCGGUGGAAACUUUCUGGCUAGAGUCCGGAAGAGGAGAAUGGAAUUCCUGGUGUAGCGGUGAAAUGCGCAGAUAUCAGGAAGAACACCCGUGGCGAAGGCGGUUCUCUGGGACGGUACUGACGCUGAGACGCGAAAGCGUGGGGAGCGAAUGGG